RNAcentral lists this ribosomal RNA (1372 nucleotides) under uncultured bacterium. RNAcentral's name for it is "bacterial SSU rRNA". It matches the Rfam family "Bacterial small subunit ribosomal RNA", at positions 28 to 1381 of the family's 1533-position model. The record is from RNAcentral.
GAUGAACGCUGGCGGCGUGCCUAAUACAUGCAAGUCGAGCGAACGGACGAGAAGCUUGCUUCUCUGAUGUUAGCGGCGGACGGGUGAGUAACACGUGGAUAACCUACCUAUAAGACUGGGAUAACUUCGGGAAACCGGAGCUAAUACCGGAUAAUAUUUUGAACCGCAUGGUUCAAAAGUGAAAGACGGUCUUGCUGUCACUUAUAGAUGGAUCCGCGCUGCAUUAGCUAGUUGGUAAGGUAACGGCUUACCAAGGCAACGAUGCAUAGCCGACCUGAGAGGGUGAUCGGCCACACUGGAACUGAGACACGGUCCAGACUCCUACGGGAGGCAGCAGUAGGGAAUCUUCCGCAAUGGGCGAAAGCCUGACGGAGCAACGCCGCGUGAGUGAUGAAGGUCUUCGGAUCGUAAAACUCUGUUAUUAGGGAAGAACAUAUGUGUAAGUAACUGUGCACAUCUUGGCGGUACCUAAUCAGAAAGCCACGGCUAACUACGUGCCAGCAGCCGCGGUAAUACGUAGGUGGCAAGCGUUAUCCGGAAUUAUUGGGCGUAAAGCGCGCGUAGGCGGUUUUUUAAGUCUGAUGUGAAAGCCCACGGCUCAACCGUGGAGGGUCAUUGGAAACUGGAAAACUUGAGUGCAGAAGAGGAAAGUGGAAUUCCAUGUGUAGCGGUGAAAUGCGCAGAGAUAUGGAGGAACACCAGUGGCGAAGGCGACUUUCUGGUCUGUAACUGACGCUGAUGUGCGAAAGCGUGGGGAUCAAACAGGAUUAGAUACCCUGGUAGUCCACGCCGUAAACGAUGAGUGCUAAGUGUUAGGGGGUUUCCGCCCCUUAGUGCUGCAGCUAACGCAUUAAGCACUCCGCCUGGGGAGUACGACCGCAAGGUUGAAACUCAAAGGAAUUGACGGGGACCCGCACAAGCGGUGGAGCAUGUGGUUUAAUUCGAAGCAACGCGAAGAACCUUACCAAAUCUUGACAUCCUUUGACAACUCUAGAGAUAGAGCUUUCCCCUUCGGGGGACAAAGUGACAGGUGGUGCAUGGUUGUCGUCAGCUCGUGUCGUGAGAUGUUGGGUUAAGUCCCGCAACGAGCGCAACCCUUAAGCUUAGUUGCCAUCAUUAAGUUGGGCACUCUAAGUUGACUGCCGGUGACAAACCGGAGGAAGGUGGGGAUGACGUCAAAUCAUCAUGCCCCUUAUGAUUUGGGCUACACACGUGCUACAAUGGACAAUACAAAGGGCAGCGAAACCGCGAGGUCAAGCAAAUCCCAUAAAGUUGUUCUCAGUUCGGAUUGUAGUCUGCAACUCGACUACAUGAAGCUGGAAUCGCUAGUAAUCGUAGAUCAGCAUGCUACGGUGAAUACGUUCCCGGGUCU